CCUACGGGUGGCAGCAGUGAGGAAUAUUGGUCAAUGGACGCGAGUCUGAACCAGCCAAGCCGCGUGAAGGAUGACUGCCCUAUGGGUUGUAAACUUCUUUUAUAUGGGAAUAAAACGCGCCACGUGUGGGGUUUUGUAUGUAUCGUACGAAUAAGGAUCGGCUAACUCCGUGCCAGCAGCCACGGUAAUACGGAGGAUGCGAGCGUUAUACGGAUUUAUUGGGUUUAAAGGGUGCGUAGGUGGUUUGUUAAGUUAGUGGUGAAAGUUUGGGGCUAAAACGCCGUACUGCAUUUGAUACUGGCGGUCUUGAGUACAGUAGAGGUAGGCGGAAUGCAUGGUGUAGCGGUGAAAUGCAUAGAUAUCACGAAGAACCCCGAUUGCGAAGGCAGUUUACUAGACUACGACUGACGCUGAGGCACGAAAGCGUGGGUAGCAAACAGGAUUAGAUACCCUAGUAGUC
RNAcentral lists this ribosomal RNA (460 nucleotides) under uncultured bacterium. RNAcentral describes it as "partial 16S ribosomal RNA". It matches the Rfam family "Bacterial small subunit ribosomal RNA", at positions 338 to 795 of the family's 1533-position model. The record is from RNAcentral.